UCCCUGGUAGUUCAUAUGGUAAAGAAUCUGCCUGCAAUGCAAAAGACCCAGGUUUGAUCCCUGGUUUGGGAA
This 72-nucleotide transfer RNA is filed under the name Bos taurus (domestic cattle). It matches the Rfam family "tRNA". Rfam says of the family: Transfer RNA (tRNA) molecules are approximately 80 nucleotides in length. RNAcentral also lists the same sequence under 1 other name. The record is from Rfam by way of RNAcentral. Lineage: Eukaryota; Metazoa; Chordata; Mammalia; Artiodactyla; Bovidae.